This 839-nucleotide ribosomal RNA is filed under the name uncultured Veillonella sp. Its description in RNAcentral is "bacterial SSU rRNA". It matches the Rfam family "Bacterial small subunit ribosomal RNA", at positions 55 to 863 of the family's 1533-position model. The record is from RNAcentral. Lineage: Bacteria; Bacillati; Bacillota; Negativicutes; Veillonellales; Veillonellaceae.
AUGCAUGUCGAACGAAGAGCGAUGGAAGCUUGCUUCUAUCAAUCUUAGUGGCGAACGGGUGAGUAACGCGUAAUCAACCUGCCCUUCAGAGGGGGACAACAGUUGGAAACGACUGCUAAUACCGCAUACGAUCUAAUCUCGGCAUCGAGGAAAGAUGAAAGGUGGCCUCUAUUUAUAAGCUAUCACUGAAGGAGGGGAUUGCGUCUGAUUAGCUAGUUGGAGGGGUAACGGCCCACCAAGGCGAUGAUCAGUAGCCGGUCUGAGAGGAUGAACGGCCACAUUGGGACUGAGACACGGCCCAGAUUCCUACGGGAGGCAGCAGUGGGGUAUCUUCCGCAAUGGACGAAAGUCUGACGGAGCAACGCCGCGUGAGUGAUGACGGCCUUCGGGUUGUAAAGCUCUGUUAAUCGGGACGAAAGGCCUUCUUGCGAACAGUUAGAAGGAUUGACGGUACCGGAAUAGAAAGCCACGGCUAACUACGUGCCAGCAGCCGCGGUAAUACGUAGGUGGCAGGCGUUGUCCGGAAUUAUUGGGCGUAAAGCGCGCGCAGGCGGAUCAGUCAGUCUGUCUUAAAAGUUCGGGGCUUAACCCCGUGAUGGGAUGGAAACUGCUGAUCUAGAGUAUCGGAGAGGAAAGUGGAAUUCCUAGUGUAGCGGUGAAAUGCGUAGAUAUUAGGAAGAACACCAGUGGCGAAGGCGACUUUCUGGACGAAAACUGACGCUGAGGCGCGAAAGCCAGGGGAGCGAACGGGAUUAGAUACCCCGGUAGUCCUGGCCGUAAACGAUGGGUACUAGGUGUAGGAGGUAUCGACCCCUUCUGUGCCGGAGUUAACGCAAUAA